AUAGUGAAAGGGAUCUCAAAGAACUAGAAGUCGAUCCUUCUUUUAAAGCAUUUUCAGCUGAUGAAGUCACAGUCCUUUUACACUAAUGGAGGCUCGAUAAACUAUAUUUCAUGUUGGUGUGUUAAUCUGGUGCUUUUUAAGUCAGUUUGAAAAGUUAAAUAUAAUUAAGAGAUUCCCAACUCAUGCGUUAGCAAAUGCACCCUCUAAUUUUUUUUAUAUUUGUUUUCUU
RNAcentral lists this long non-coding RNA (229 nucleotides) under Prunus persica (peach). RNAcentral's name for it is "long non-coding RNA (PPER_LNC007356)". The record is from RNAcentral. Lineage: Eukaryota; Viridiplantae; Streptophyta; Magnoliopsida; Rosales; Rosaceae.